Molecule: ribosomal RNA, 503 nt
Filed under: uncultured bacterium
Lineage: Bacteria
Description: partial 16S ribosomal RNA
Rfam family: Bacterial small subunit ribosomal RNA
Source: RNAcentral
AUUGAACGCUGGCGGCAGGCUUAACACAUGCGAGUCGAGCGGGGUGAUGGUGCUUGCACUAUCACUUAGCGGCGGACGGGUGAGUAAUGCUUAGGAAUCUGCCUAUUAGUGGGGGGCAACAUCUCGAAAGGGAUGCUAAUACCGCAUACGUCCUACGGGAGAAAGCAGGGGAUCACUUGUGACCUUGCGCUAAUAGAUGAGCCUAAGUCGGAUUAGCUAGUUGGUGGGGUAAAGGCCUACCAAGGCGACGAUCUGUAGCGGGUCUGAGAGGAUGAUCCGCCACACUGGGACUGAGACACGGCCCAGACUCCUACGGUAGGCAGCAGUGGGGAAUAUUGGACAAUGGGGGGAACCCUGAUCCAGCCAUGCCGCGUGUGUGAAGAAGGCCUUAUGGUUGUAAAGCACUUUAAGCGAGGAGGAGGCUCUUUUGGUUAAUACCCAAGAUGAGUGGACGUUACUCGCAGAAUAAGCACCGGCUAACUCUGUGCCAGCCGCCGCAGUAA